CCUACGGGCGGCAGCAGUGGGGAAUAUUGGGCAAUGGGCGCAAGCCUGACCCAGCAACGCCGCGUGAAGGAAGAAGGCUUUCGGGUUGUAAACUUCUUUUAUCAGGGACGAAGCAAGUGACGGUACCGGAUGAAUAAGCCACGGCUAACUACGUGCCAGCAGCCGCGGUAAUACGUAGGUGGCAAGCGUUAUCCGGAUUUACUGGGGGUAAAGGGGGUGUAGGCGGGAGUGCAAGUCAGAUGUGAAAACUAUGGGCUCAACCCAUAGCCUGCAUUUGAAACUGUACUUCUUGAGUGCUGGAGAGGCAAUCGGAAUUCCGUGUGUAGCGGUGAAAUGCGUAGAUAUACGGAGGAACACCAGUGGCGAAGGCGGAUUGCUGGACAGUAACUGACGCUGAGGCGCGAAAGCGUGGGGAGCAAACAGGAUUAGAUACCCGAGUAGUC
This 443-nucleotide ribosomal RNA is filed under the name uncultured bacterium. RNAcentral describes it as "partial 16S ribosomal RNA". It matches the Rfam family "Bacterial small subunit ribosomal RNA", at positions 338 to 795 of the family's 1533-position model. The record is from RNAcentral.